GACGAACGCUGGCGGCGUGCUUAACACAUGCAAGUCGAACGGAAAGGCCCUGCUUUUGUGGGGUGCUCGAGUGGCGAACGGGUGAGUAACACGUGAGUAACCUGCCCUUGACUUUGGGAUAACUUCAGGAAACUGGGGCUAAUACCGGAUAGGAGCUCCUGCUGCAUGGUGGGGGUUGGAAAGUUUCGGCGGUUGGGGAUGGACUCGCGGCUUAUCAGCUUGUUGGUGGGGUAGUGGCUUACCAAGGCUUUGACCGGUAGCCGGCCUGAGAGGGUGACCGGCCACAUUGGGACUGAGAUACGGCCCAGACUCCUACGGGAGGCAGCAGUGGGGAAUAUUGCACAAUGGGCGGAAGCCUGAUGCAGCAACGCCGCGUGCGGGAUGACGGCCUUCGGGUUGCAAACCGCUUUCGCCUGUGACGAAGCGUGAGUGACGGUAAUGGGUAAAGAAGCACCGGCUAACUACGUG
This 468-nucleotide ribosomal RNA is filed under the name uncultured bacterium. Its description in RNAcentral is "partial 16S ribosomal RNA". It matches the Rfam family "Bacterial small subunit ribosomal RNA", at positions 28 to 507 of the family's 1533-position model. The record is from RNAcentral.